RNAcentral lists this unclassified non-coding RNA (4933 nucleotides) under Leishmania donovani. RNAcentral describes it as "gene:LdHU3.25.2080(CDS-product:casein_kinase_I_pu tative)". The record is from RNAcentral. Lineage: Eukaryota; Euglenozoa; Kinetoplastea; Trypanosomatida; Trypanosomatidae.
CAAUCGGCGAAGCUGUCGUAACGGAGCGGAAACUGUGCGCGCCUGUCUGUCUGACUGUGUGUGUGCGUGUGUGUUUCACGGAGUACGGUCACCUUUGGGUGUAGAACUCCGCUGCGCAUACGCAUCAGGCGUCUUCUCCUCCAGCAUCUUCCUGCCCUCGCCUCGACCCCCCCCCCACGCAACUCCGCUGUGGAUUCUUUUUCGAGCCCUUCGCGCGCUCCCUCCCUCUCCCUCCUUUUUCUCCAUCGGCAGAUCGCACACAUCAUCAUUGCACCUCUGCUGUGUGUGUCUGCCCACCCACCCACUCUCAACCCCCCUCUCUCUGCUUCUCUUCGCGCACAGCUGCCCGUCGUUUGGCGUUUUGUGGGCACGUGUGUGUGUGUGUGUGUGUGUGCAUGCUUCCGUGUCCUGUUGUCGCGCAUGCUACCAUGUUUCUGGCCCUUUCCCUCCGCUGCUGACUCAUCCACCCCCACCCCGCCGCCCUUACUCCAUCUUUGAUCCGUCCCACUCUCUCUCUCUGGGAGACACACGCACACAGAAACAGAUACCCUGCUCCUGUGCCCAGCGUACGUGCCAGUGUAUCUCCCCCCACCCACCCGCCCCUCCCUGCGCGUGUGCGUGGGCGUGCGCGGGCCAAACAGACGAGAGCGUGCGAAGAGAGCGACUCGGGAGCAGCAUAGUAGCAGACAUUUUUUUUUUCUGAAAAACAAGAUGGCCUCUGUAUCCGAGAAGUAUCAGCCGACUGGCAAGGAGGUCCCGUUUGGGGGAGGCCGCUUUCUUCUCAGCCACCGCCUCGGCAACGGCUCCUUCGGCGACAUCUUCGAAGGCUACGACAAGAAGAGCCACCGCAUCGUCGCGGUGAAGCUGGAGCGCAAAAAGGCGCGCUAUCCGCAGCUGUCCUACGAAAGCAAGGUGUACCGCGUGCUGCAUCAGCCCCCAGUGGGGCAGAAUGAAGUGAACCCAAAGCAACUUUUUGCGGAGGGCAGCAACCACAGCGUUGUGAACGGUGGCACGGCGCAGGGCGACAGCAACAAUACCCCAUCCAACCUGCCACAGAGCGUCAACGCCACCGCGCAGCAGCAGCGCAAAUCAUUAGAGAUCAGCAUCGUUGUCGGCAUUCCGCAAAUCUACUACUUCGACAGCGAGGGCGAUUACAACAUCAUGGUGAUGGAGAUGUGCGGCCCCUCGCUGGAGGACGUCUUCAACUACUGUCACCGUCGCUUCUCUCUCAAGACGGUGCUCAUGAUUGCUGAUCAGCUGCUGCACCGAAUUCAGUACUUUCACGAAAAAGGCUUCGUGCACCGCGACAUCAAGCCAGAAAACUUCGUGUUCGGCUGCCGGUCCAAGGCGCACAUCCUCUACAUCAUCGACUACGGGCUUUCCAAGCUGUACUGGGAGGUGAAGAAAAACAGUCACAUCCCCUUUGCGGAGGGUCGCCCGCUGACCGGGACGGCGCGCUACUGCAGCACCAAUGUGCACCGCGGCUUCGAGCAGAGCCGCCGUGACGACCUCGAGUCCAUCGGCUUUCUCCUCAUCUACUUUCUGCGAGGCAACCUGCCCUGGCAAGGGAUCCAGGCGAAGGACCAGCAGAUCAAAACCAUCAAGAUCGGGGAGACUAAGAUGGCCACGCCGCUGGAGGAGCUGUGCAAGGGGAUGCCAAAGGAGUUUCUCAACUACUGCCAGUACUGUCGUUCCUUGUCCUUCACACAGAAGCCGGACUACGACAGCCUGCGGCGCCUGUUCCGCGAUCUAGGCAAGCGGCUCGGGCUGACACUGCCCGCGCGCGAUUUGCCUAGUGGCAACUUCUGCGCAGCAAACCGCACUGGCGCGAAACCGUCCAACCCGCUCGCGGUGCCCGCCAUGUUGUCCACCGAUAUCACAUCCCCGACCGAUUCGCGGCUGCUGAGUGUCGUGAGUGAGUCUACGGUGAACAGCCGGCGCAGCCAUCCGUUCCAGACCCCCAGCACCGUCGCAGCGCAGGUCCUGCCGACUCUCGAGGACGUCGAUCCGAUGCGCGGCCCGUAUGACUGGUGCUUCGACUGGUUCUGUAAGCGGCAGAUGGAGGUCAAGAGGGGGAUGGAGGAGCAGUCGCGGCAGCAGCGGCUCGAAACGCAGAUGUCGGCUAUCGCGUCUCGCAACAGCGAGCUGCGCCUCGAGGAUGUCUCCGACGUAAUGAACGGAUCGACGCAGCGCGACAAGAACAGCGCCUUUGGCAGCAAGCGUCCUAUGUUCAGCAGUCCAUUGCAGCCGGAUCGCCUGCGCAUGUAGGAAUGUUGCAGUGUGUGCGUGCGUGUGCGAGAAAGCGGGGGUGAUGCAUACGCCUGUGCAUUGCAAGCUCAUGACCGACACCACAUGCCGUGAGAAAAAGGGGGAGAGCCGCACAGAGGACGCGUGCACGCGUGGCGUAAAGCUGCCACUGUCGUCUCCUCCGCACACCCCCUUCUGCAACCGUCCCGUCACUUUCACGUACCGUAUGCCCUGCGGUUGCGCAGAUCUCUGCUACGGCAACCCUUUUCCUGUCCCCCUGCCACUCCCGCAACGGGUCUAGUUCCAACUGGACAUACCCCCUCUUCUUCACCUUGUGCAGUCCUCUGUAGGGUUUCUUUUCUCUGGCGCACCUCGUCCUCCCCUCUAUGCGCUUAUAUGUCUGUUCGUAUGUGUGUGUGUGUGUCUGUCAUCUUUCCCCUCUCCCACCCCUCCUCCCACUCUCUGUGUGGAUGUGAGUAUGUUAUGUAUAUCCGCCGGUGUUCCCUCUGUGUGUGUGUGUGUAUGUCUGCCGUUGUAAAGGCAAAGGACAGGGAGAGCGAGAGAGAUCGCGUGUGUCCUCUUCGCUCUCCUCCCCGCCACCGCCUCCAGGCCCGCAGCCUCUCUCUCUCUCCCGCUCACAUGCCGCCCCACCGCCCACCCAAAUGUUCUUCCUUGAUUUCUCAUAUAGAUGUGCGUGUGUGCGGCUCUGAUGACGGGGACACCCCAGUGUGAUGCCAGGGUCAGGUACCUACGACCGUAGCGGGAGGCCAGAGCGAUGUACCGCUACGGGUGUCGGCGGUGUCAGGCCCUGGACUGGCGCUGCAUCGAAGCGGCCUGCGACAGUGAGCACGUUUGUGCCAUCCAUGCGAUUGGGCAGAGUGUCAGCGUCACUCGAAUACAUCCCCCCGGCCCUCACCGCGCCCUGGCUCGGGGAGCCCGAGGCGCCCCGAGGGAUGCGCGACGUGGCGACCGGGCACAAGGCGAGCGGCCGUGAGGGGCGACCUUGCGGGGCGGGGAGGGCGGGUAGAGGGUCUGGGGCGGAGGCCGCGCUUCGCUGACUGGGUCGGCGCAUUUCUGCAGCGGCGCGUGUCUACGGCUGCUUGGCGCCACGCAGUGUGGGGGCCUGUUGCAGCGGUGGGUGGGCCGGGUGGGAAGGAGGAAGGAGCGUUGUGCCCAUGCUGUAUGGCAGGGAAAGGGACACGUUGGGCAGCCAAAACGUGAAAGUCUUCUCCGCCACGCACACACGCGUAAUCGAUGCACCAUGCACACACUCCGACACCACCACAAGACGACAAAGGAGGAGGAAGGGGGCAAAAACAGGGAGCAGCAAAUGCGGAAUUCGCUUCAUCCCACCCGAACUGACUACAGCACAUCGUCACGGGGUGCGAAGCCUCGUCCCCCCAUCUCCACAAACCUCCUCCUUCUCCACCAGUGCCCACCUCACGCGCUCAUUCCGCGUCACUUGGACGUGUCUGUGUCUCCCUCCCCCUUCCUCUCUAAUAUCUCUCUUUUCCGCCUGCUCUUCUCUCUUCCGUGAAGUCGAUUCCAAUGUACAAGUGCGUGCCUCUCUCCCUCCCCACCCACCCACCCCCUCGCGUGUAGGUGUGUGUGUGUGUGUGUGUGUGCGUGUUUUCCGUGACCCACAUAUUGUGUGCCUCUCUGCAGUGCUGCUGAUAUCUACACACAUAUAUAUAUAUAUACCUCUGUAGUGGUUUCCUUCUCUUGCUUUCGCCGCCUCCUCUCUAUCGUGGUGGUCAUCCGUGCCUUGAUGGCCGUUGUCGUUGUCGAGGAGGAGGAUCGUCGCCGUGGCUAGUUCCCUUUUUCUUUUUCAUUCGCCUAUCACCCCUCUUUCUAUCCUAUCCCCUCUCUCUCCGCUACAUAUUUGUCUCUCCCUCUCUCUUCGUCGAGCAAACGCAGAUACUCACGGGCUCGCACAUACAAGCACGCACACACACACACACACACAUCACCGCCUUCUCCAUCGCUCAUCUCCCUCGUGCCGUCCUCUGCACCUUUAUCAUCCUUUUCAUUUUUCUUCGCGUUGUUUCUACCAGAUCUCGCUCUUCAGCGCUCUCUCUCUUCCCUUGUCUCCGCUUUCGUCUGUCCGUCCGUGUGUGCGUGUGUGUAUGCUCAGUUGAUGAUCAUUUUUUCCAGUUUGCACACACACACACGCACAGGCACAGGCGUGCAUGCGUGUGUGUGUGUGUGUGUGUGUGCGUGCAUCUGUGUCUGUGUGCGCGUGCGAUGUCGCCAUGUUGUGGGUUACCUCGUCUUUGUACUGACGCAUGUUUUCAUUUUUAUUAUUAUUUUGUUGUGUUUGUGUCGUCGAUCCCCCUUCCCGGGGGUGGGGGUGCCCUCCUCCACCGGCGCCUCCUCUGACUCCGGCUUCCUGCUCCUUCUCUUCCUCUCUCCAUGCGCCUGUGUGUCUGCGCAUGCAUAUGUGUAUCUCCUGCACUCGCUGGUAUCCCCGCUCUCUCUCUCUCGUUGCCGCAGACUUCCUUGCAGUGCGGCUGGCCGUUAUCUGCGGCUGAUGGUGUUUGUUGGUUAGUGUGCGGGGGCGGAGUACAUGGUAGUGGUUAUGAAGAGGUCGGUACGAUCUCGCCGAUGGAGAAGAUAGGUGAAGGAACUACACGGCACAAGCACGAGCGCGCACUCCGAAGGCAAUUUGCAUUUCUCGAACAAGUUC